This 253-nucleotide ribosomal RNA is filed under the name uncultured bacterium. RNAcentral describes it as "partial 16S ribosomal RNA". It matches the Rfam family "Bacterial small subunit ribosomal RNA", at positions 524 to 776 of the family's 1533-position model. The record is from RNAcentral.
UACAGAGGGUGCGAGCGUUAAUCGGAAUUACUGGGCGUAAAGCGCACGUAGGUGGCGACGUAAGUCGGGUGUGAAAGCCCCGGGCUCAACCUGGGAAUUGCAUUCGAGACUGCAUUGCUGGAGUACGGAAGAGGAGGGCGGAAUUCCCGGUGUAGCGGUGAAAUGCGUAGAUAUCGGAAGGAACAUCAGUGGCGAAAGCGGCUUCCUGGACCAGUACCGACGUUCAGGCACGAAAGCGUGGGGAGCAAACAGG